Melanotaenia boesemani (Boeseman's rainbowfish) is the source of this 220-nucleotide long non-coding RNA. RefSeq lists it as uncharacterized. Lineage: Eukaryota; Metazoa; Chordata; Actinopteri; Atheriniformes; Melanotaeniidae. The transcript has 3 exons. The record is from RefSeq and is a predicted model, not a curated record.
ACCACACAUAGAACCUGUUAUUUCUACAGAAGUUCAAGUCCAGCCUUCCUGUCCUGUUUGUGGCAAGCAAUUUCCCAGAGAGGUGUUAAUGUUGCAUGCAGUACAUGUGGUGAAAGUGUAAUGGAAGACUUGCCAACAACAUCAAGGCCACAAGGUGGAGCUGCACUGAGCAGCGAUGGAGACGACCUCAGUGCUGCAACAUUGUGUGAAGUCACCGGUC